ACUGGUACGGACAAGGGGA
RNAcentral lists this small nuclear RNA (19 nucleotides) under Arabidopsis thaliana (thale cress). Its description in RNAcentral is "snRNA_11547". Lineage: Eukaryota; Viridiplantae; Streptophyta; Magnoliopsida; Brassicales; Brassicaceae. The record is from RNAcentral.